This 678-nucleotide long non-coding RNA is filed under the name Gallus gallus (chicken). RNAcentral's name for it is "lncRNA (ENSGALG00010026556.1)". The record is from RNAcentral. Lineage: Eukaryota; Metazoa; Chordata; Aves; Galliformes; Phasianidae.
GCAUUGCACGCACCUGAGCUCCCCGGGCUGGCCCGGCCUUCCGCCACGUGCUCCGUCACUGCUUCAGGCCGGGACUCAGCACUGCCACUACAGAUGGGGUGGUGGCACAUGGGGAGGAUGGGGAUGCCAUGGGAUGGUGGCACAUGGAAGGGUGGAGGUGCCAUGGGAUGGUGGCACAUGGAAGGGUGGAGACGCUAUGCGAUGGUGGCACAGGGACAGGAUGGAGAUGCCAUGGGAUGGUGGCACAUGGACAGGAUGGGGAUGCCAUGGGAUGGUGGCGUGUGGGAGGAUGGAGACAUCCAGUUUGGCACAUGGGUAGGAUGGAGGUGCCAUGGGAUGGUGGCACAUGGGAGGAUGGAGACGUUAUGCGAUGGUGGCACAGGAACAGGAUUGAGAUGCGGUGGGAUGGUGGCAUAGGGACAGGAUGGAGAUGCCCGAGGAUGGUGGUACAUGGAAGGAUGGAGAUGGGGUGGGAUGGUGGCACAUGGAAGGGUGGAGACAUCCAGUUUGGCACAGGGACAGGAUGGGGAUGCGAUGGGAUGGUGGCACAGGGAUAGGACGGAGGCGCUGAGAAGCGGCGGCGCAGGGCAGGUGGGGGUGUUAUGGGCAGGUGGGGUUGUUAUGGGCCGGCGGCGCAGCGAAGGACGGAGGUGGGGACGCCGGGAGGCGGCGCAGUGC